CCCUUAGAUGUUCUGGGCUGCACGCGCGCUACACUGAUGCGUUCAACGAGUUUAUGACCUUGCCCGAUAGGGUUGGGUAAUCUUUUUAAAUCGCAUCGUGAUGGGGAUAGAUUAUUGCAAUUAUUAAUCUUCAACGAGGAAUUCCUAGUAAACGCAAGUCAUCAACUUGCAUUGAUUACGUCCCUGCCCUUUGUACACACCGCCCGUCGCACCUACCGAUUGAAUGGUCCGGUGAAGCCUCCGGAUUGGCGCGCACCUCGGUGCCGCCGAGAAGUUGGCUAAACCUUACCAUUUAGAGGAAGGUGAANUCGUANCA
RNAcentral lists this ribosomal RNA (316 nucleotides) under uncultured eukaryote. RNAcentral describes it as "partial 18S ribosomal RNA". It matches the Rfam family "Eukaryotic small subunit ribosomal RNA", at positions 1470 to 1796 of the family's 1831-position model. The record is from RNAcentral.